UCCGGUUUGUCACCGGCAGUCUCAUUAGAGUGCCCUUUCGUAGCAACUAAUGACAAGGGUUGCGCUCGUUGCGGGACUUAACCCAACAUCUCACGACACGAGCUGACGACAGCCAUGCAGCACCUGUGUUGCAGUUCUCUUUCGAGCACUUUCACCUCUCAGCAAAAUUCUGCACAUGUCAAGGGUAGGUAAGGUUUUUCGCGUUGCAUCGAAUUAAUCCACAUCAUCCACCGCUUGUGCGGGUCCCCGUCAAUUCCUUUGAGUUUUAACCUUGCGGCCGUACUCCCCAGGCGGUCAACUUCACGCGUCAGCUACGUUACUGAGAAGGAACCUUCCCAACAACCAGUUGACAUCGUUUAGGGCGUGGACUAC
Molecule: unclassified non-coding RNA, 372 nt
Filed under: uncultured Gammaproteobacteria bacterium
Lineage: Bacteria; Pseudomonadati; Pseudomonadota; Gammaproteobacteria
Description: contains 16S-23S intergenic spacer region
Source: RNAcentral